AAGUUGAAAAAAGGAUUUUGCAGUACCAAACAUUUGUUGACCAAGGACUGGAAAAGGAGUCGCAAUGCAUGUUUGGAUUGGUCUUAUACAGUUUGGAUCGCCUAUUUCAUGCUGUUGAGAGGCAUGCAAAGUCAACUGGUGAAUGGCAAAGUUUGAGGCAGGAUAUUAUUGAUCUGGGAAAACCCGGCCUUCAAACUACGUAUAAGCUUGUAGUGACAUCACGAAUGGAGCGUGUCUACGAGUGCUUGCUUCCUUCCUUAAAGCAGCGAUAGCCUUUUUUUUUUAAUUCUGCUAAUGACCUCGCCUGGAAAUAAAUUAUUAAAAAGGGGAAAAAGCCUCUCUUAAUGUUGCUGUAUGCUUCAAUUUUGCAAGAAGCGUGUAGCAUCUCAAGUCAUGUGGUCGCUUGUACGACAAAGUAAGUGAUUUCUAGUUCACAUUUGUUUUCUCAUUUUGUUUUCCUUUUUCACACCAACAUUUCAUGAGCUUGUGUUCUGGGGUAAAUUUUAUCUUUUUGGCAACAUGACACGUCUUUUUGUGAUUCAAAGAAAUUUCUGUAGUCUAGUUUUAUUUUCCAUUUCAUAGUCGUUGUAAUCCUAUCUUCUUGUAAUGAUCUAUCCU
This 618-nucleotide unclassified non-coding RNA is filed under the name Hevea brasiliensis (rubber tree). The record is from RNAcentral. Lineage: Eukaryota; Viridiplantae; Streptophyta; Magnoliopsida; Malpighiales; Euphorbiaceae.